RNAcentral lists this ribosomal RNA (847 nucleotides) under uncultured fungus. RNAcentral's name for it is "eukaryotic LSU rRNA". The stretch from base 1 to 241 matches the Rfam family "Eukaryotic small subunit ribosomal RNA", at positions 1593 to 1831 of the family's 1831-position model. Lineage: Eukaryota; Fungi. The record is from RNAcentral.
UUGCUCUUCAACGAGGAAUACCUAGNAAGNGNGAGUCAUCAGCUCGCGUUGAUUACGUCCCUGCCCUUUGUACACACCGCCCGUCGCUACUACCGAUUGAAUGGCUUAGUGAGGCCUUGGGAUUGGCUUCGGGGAGCCGGCAACGGCACCCUGUUGCUGAGAACUUGGUCAAACUUGGUCAUUUAGAGGAAGUAAAAGUCGUAACAAGGUUUCCGUAGGUGAACCUGCGGAAGGAUCAUUAACGAGUUUUGAAAGGGUUGUAGCUGGUCUCAAUCUGAGGCAUGUGCACGCCCUACUCAUCCACUCUCAACCUCUGUGCACUUACUGUAGGUCGGUGAAAGGUUCGCUCUGCGAGCUGGAAGCCUUCCUAUGUUUCACUACAAACGCUUCAGUUUUAGAAUGUAACCUUGCGUAUAACGCAUCUAUAUACAACUUUUAGCAACGGAUCUCUUGGCUCUCGCAUCGAUGAAGAACGCAGCGAAAUGCGAUAAGUAAUGUGAAUUGCAGAAUUCAGUGGAUCAUCGAAUCUUUGAACGCACCUUGCGCUCCCUGGUACUCCGGGGAGCACGCCUGUUUGAGUGUCAUGGUAUUCUCAACCUUCAUAACUUUUGUUAUCGAAGGCUUGGAUUUGGAGGUUGUGCUGGCUCUCGUUAGUCGGCUCCUCUUAAAUGCAUUAGCGUGAACGUUUGCCGAUCGCUAUCAGUGUGAUAAUUAUCUGCGCUGUUAGUGUUGAAGCAUCAUUAGUGUCGCGCUUCUAACCGUCCUUCACAGGACAAUUUACUUUGACAUCUGACCUCAAAUCAGGCGGGACUACCCGCUGAACUUAAGCAUAUCAAUAAGCGGAGGA